Molecule: ribosomal RNA, 1245 nt
Filed under: metagenome
Description: bacterial LSU rRNA
Rfam family: Bacterial large subunit ribosomal RNA
Source: RNAcentral
UGAGUACGAGAUGCUACGGCGUCGAAGCAGUCUAGGUCAUACUUCCAAGAAAAGCUUGCACUGUCAUAAACAAAGAAUGCCUGUACCAUAACCGACACAGGUGGGUAGGUAGAGUAUACUAAGGGGCGCGAGAUAACUCUCUCUAAGGAACUCGGCAAAAUGACUCCGUAACUUCGGGAGAAGGAGUGCCUUAUUUUUAAGGUUGCAAUAACAAGAUCCAAGCAACUGUUUACCAAAAACACAGGUCUCCGCUAAGUCGUAAGACGAUGUAUGGGGGCUGACGCCUGCCCAGUGCCAGAAGGUUAAAGAAGUUGGUUAGCAUUUGCGAAGCUGAUAACUGAAGCCCUGGUGAACGGCGGCCGUAACAAUAACGGUCCUAAGGUAGCGAAAUUCCUUGUCGGGUAAGUUCCGACCCGCACGAAAGGCGUAAUGAUUUGGAUACUGUCUCGGAGAGGGGCUCGGUGAAAUAGACUUGUCUGUGAAGAUGCGGACUACCUGCACCUGGACAGAAAGACCCUAUGAAGCUUUACUGUAACUUGAGAUUGAAAUUGGACUUUAUUUGCGCAGUAUAGGUGGGAGGCGUUGAGAAUAAUCUUGCGGGAUUAUCGGAGCCAUCAGUGAGAUACCACUCUUGUAAUGUUAGAUUUCUAACUUUGUAUCAUUAUCUGGUCAAAGAACAGUUUCAGGCGGGCAGUUUGACUGGGGCGGUCGCCUCCCAAAGGGUAACGGAGGCGCACAAAGGUUUCCUCUGAACGGGUAGAAAUCGUAUCUAGAGUGUAAAGGCAUAAGGAAGCUUGACUGUGAGACCUACAAGUCGAGCAGGGACGAAAGUCGGUCUUAGUGAUCUGACGGUGCUGAGUGGAAAGGCCGUCACUCAACGGAUAAAAGUUACUCUAAGGAUAACAGGCUGAUCUCCCCCAAGAGUUCGCAUCGACGGGGAGGUUUGGCACCUCGAUGUCGGCUCAUCGCAUCCUGGGGCGGUAGUACGUCCCAAGGGUUGGGCUGUUCGCCCAUGAAAGCGGUACGCGAGCUGGGUUCAGAACGUCGUGAGACAGUUCGGUCCAUAUCCGGUGUAGGCGUUGGAAUAUUGAAAGGAGCCUUCUCUAGUACGAGAGGACCGAGAAGGACAUACCUCUGGUGUGCCAGUUAUCGUGCCAACGGUAAACGCUGGGUAGCUAUGUAUGGAGUGGAUAACCGCUGAAAGCAUCUAAGUGGGAAGCCCACCUUAAGAUAAGUAUUCUCAUC